Non-coding RNA from Strongyloides papillosus, 78 nucleotides. Lineage: Eukaryota; Metazoa; Nematoda; Chromadorea; Rhabditida; Strongyloididae. The record is from Rfam.
UGCGAAUGAUGAAGUUUCAUUUAUUUGCUCGAGAAUUAACCAUGUGGGCAAAAAUUGAGCUUUUUAACUCUGACGCCA